GUGGAACGAGCGGCGGACGGGUGAGUAACACGUGGGCAACCUGCCUGUAAGAUCGGAAUAACCCCGGGAAACCGGGGCUAAUGCCGGGUAAUACUUUCUUUCGCAUGAAGGAAAGUUGAAAGAUGGCUUCUCGCUAUCACUUACAGAUGGGCCCGCGGCGCAUUAGCUAGUUGGUGAGGUAACGGCUCACCAAGGCGACGAUGCGUAGCCGACCUGAGAGGGUGAUCGGCCACACUGGGACUGAGACACGGCCCAGACUCCUACGGGAGGCAGCAGUAGGGAAUCUUCCGCAAUGGACGAAAGUCUGACGGAGCAACGCCGCGUGAACGAUGAAGGUCUUCGGAUCGUAAAGUUCUGUUGUUAGGGAAGAACAAGUACCGUGCGAAUAGAGCGGUACCUUGACGGUACCUAACGAGGAAGCCCCGGCUAACUACGUGCCAGCAGCCGCGGUAAUACGUAGGGGGCAAGCGUUGUCCGGAAUUAUUGGGCGUAAAGCGCGCGCAGGCGGUUCCUUAAGUCUGAUGUGAAAGCCCACGGCUCAACCGUGGAGGGUCAUUGGAAACUGGGGAACUUGAGGACAGAAGAGGAGAGUGGAAUUCCACGUGUAGCGGUGAAAUGCGUAGAUAUGUGGAGGAACACCAGUGGCGAAGGCGACUCUCUGGUCUGUUUCUGACGCUGAGGUGCGAAAGCGUGGGUAGCAAACAGGAUUAGG
RNAcentral lists this ribosomal RNA (712 nucleotides) under Halobacillus sp. TJ5-9. Its description in RNAcentral is "bacterial SSU rRNA". It matches the Rfam family "Bacterial small subunit ribosomal RNA", at positions 86 to 782 of the family's 1533-position model. Lineage: Bacteria; Bacillati; Bacillota; Bacilli; Caryophanales; Bacillaceae. The record is from RNAcentral.